AUCUCCUUCAACUUCUUCUUAUUCUUUCUCUUCUUAUCCUUCUUGCUAUCACAACAAUUGCUUCCCAGUCACUUCACAUCCCAACUUGGACCUUAACUUUUACACUCCAACGAGCACCCAGAUGUUUUCUAAUGGGUUCUCGGGUUAUGAGCAAACAGGUCCAAUUGGGCUGAACCACCUUACCCCUUCACAAAUCCUUCAAAUCCAAGCCAAAAUCCACCUCCAACAGCAGCAGCAGCAGCAGCAGCAGCAGCAAAUGGCAAAUCAUGCUCCCACAUCACAGUUAGUCCAUAACCAAAGGACUAGCAAUUUCUUGGCUCCAAAACCUGUCCCUAUGAAACAACAAUCUGCUUCUCCUCCUCCAAAGCCAACAAAGCUUUAUAGAGGAGUGAGGCAGAGACAUUGGGGAAAAUGGGUUGCUGAGAUUAGACUUCCAAAGAACAGAACAAGACUCUGGCUUGGCACUUUUGACACAGCUGAG
This 481-nucleotide long non-coding RNA is filed under the name Populus trichocarpa (black cottonwood). RNAcentral's name for it is "long non-coding RNA (PTRI_LNC002006)". The record is from RNAcentral. Lineage: Eukaryota; Viridiplantae; Streptophyta; Magnoliopsida; Malpighiales; Salicaceae.